CCUACAAUGAAAUUUAAGAAGUUUCUUAGGUUUCGGCGCCAUUUUCGAUUGGACUGAGGCCCUGUAUCGAGGAAAAGUUGUUUCAAGAUGUUCCCAGUUAUUCAGGAUAAAUAGUAGUGAGCCUUUUCCUAUAACUUCCUGAAGAGGGCAGAACACAUUGAAAUUUUUCAAGUUUGCUGAAUAUCAGAUGGCUUGGCCAUGUAUGAUGCUUAGAGGUGAAGUAGCAGCACAUCAUGGUUUGUAGGAACAAGGAGAUACAGACCAUUCUGAGCUGCCUCUUCACCUCAGAGAUCAGACUAAAAGGACCUGCAUCAGCAGUUGUAACUUACCUGAUAUUCUUUGUGCUUUGUA
This is a long non-coding RNA of Pelobates fuscus (common spadefoot toad), 351 nucleotides long. RefSeq lists it as uncharacterized. The transcript has 4 exons. NCBI's taxonomy places the organism in Eukaryota, Metazoa, Chordata, Amphibia, Anura, Pelobatidae. The record is from RefSeq and is a predicted model, not a curated record.